ACCAAAUUAAAAAAAUAUAAAUUGGAAAUAUCAAGGUAGUUAUAAGAUUCUUCUUGUUGCAGCAACCAAAGAAAGCUUUUGAUUAUAAGGAAAUUGCUUCGUGCUGCUGGAUUGUUCGCAGGAUCAAUAGUAGUGUUUCGAAAUUACGGCGAUCUUAUGGCAAUCUAAAAGUAGAAGACUAUGUUGUCUGUAAUGGUCUGCUAUUAUCUACUUAAACUGUAAUGUCUUGGCUGUAGUUUCAAUCUAUAAUGAGCAGGAUUACUUUCUGGCUUUUGAUUAAGUGAUGAUUAUGCUUUUUCAAUUUGGUCAUGUUAACCUUGUGUCUCUGCACGUUUCCUUGUGCUGAGGCCUGAGAUGACUGUCUUUUGAUAAAAAAAUUACUGUUUUAACAUUCUUAAAUUGUGAAGGUUUAAAGAACAUUGAUAUUCAUCUCCUAUUGUAAAUCAUAAUUAUCGAUUAUGAUUACCUAGAAGCGGUUGUUUUGAUGAUAUUCUUUUCUU
This is a long non-coding RNA of Trifolium pratense (red clover), 500 nucleotides long. RefSeq lists it as uncharacterized. NCBI's taxonomy places the organism in Eukaryota, Viridiplantae, Streptophyta, Magnoliopsida, Fabales, Fabaceae. The transcript has 2 exons. The record is from RefSeq and is a predicted model, not a curated record.